Long non-coding RNA from Xyrauchen texanus (razorback sucker), 687 nucleotides. RefSeq lists it as uncharacterized. The record is from RefSeq and is a predicted model, not a curated record. Lineage: Eukaryota; Metazoa; Chordata; Actinopteri; Cypriniformes; Catostomidae. The transcript is spliced from 3 exons.
AGCAGCCCAAACCUAAUAUGCAGAAAAAAGACCCCUUGACUAAUUGUUCUGUAGAAAUUCCAGGUUUGUACCAUUGGAAUGAAGAUAUGAUGGCAGACAAUGGGAGACAACAAACCCAGAAAUGGAGAGGCCAUACAAAAGCCAGGAGGAGAGAAUAUGCUUGAUGGUUCUGUAUCACAACAUGCCCAGCCUCAUCCACAGCACGUCAUGGCCCUUUAAAUUAAUGUACCAUUCAACAAACAAAGAAACUCUGCUGGUGUGGGUCAUAAGCAAGUUUAAGAUGUACGCCUGCUGGUCACUAAGAAAUCAGCUGUUACUCAAGUCACUAAACUGCUACGGUGGAUUAAAAUGGAAGAAGAACAUCUCUUUAUCUGUUCCCACCCAAAACACCCCACCACACAACCAGGCAGAAGUUCUGCUGAAAGGGGCAGAUCAUACAGACAGGAAGCAUCAGACUGUGGCUUUCUAGCUCCCUUCAUAGCCUCCUGCAACCAUAACCUCAUAAUGUUACUUAUCAACAAAGCAGUUAAUGUUUCAGUUCUGUGUUUUAUGGUUUUGAGCUUCAUAGCGUACGUGUCAAUAUUUCAUAAUAUGUAAAUCAUCCUGCAUUUUUGUCAAUGUGUGGAUUUUUGUGUGGAUUUUUUUUUAUUAUAAAUUUGUAUUAAUGUUUGGGAGAUGCAUAUGACA